GUGGGGAAUAUUGGACAAUGGGCGCAAGCCUGAUCCAGCCAUGCCGCGUGAGUGAUGAAGGCCUUAGGGUUGUAAAGCUCUUUUGUCCGGGAAGAUAAUGACUGUACCGGAAGAAUAAGCCCCGGCUAACUUCGUGCCAGCAGCCGCGGUAAUACGAAGGGGGCGAGCGUUAUUCGGAAUCACUGGGCGUAAAGCGUGCGUAGGCUGUUUUGUAAGUCAGAAGUGAAAGCCCAGGGCUUAACCCUGGAAUUGCUUUUGAAACUACAAGACUCGAAUUCGGGAGAGGAUAGCGGAAUUGUCAGUGUAGCAGUGAAAUGCGUAGAUAUUGACAGGAACACCAGUGGCGCAAGCGGCUAUCUGGACCGAUAUUGACGCUGAGGCACGAAAGCGUGGGGAGCAAACAGGAUUAGAUACCCCUGUAGUCC
Molecule: ribosomal RNA, 425 nt
Filed under: uncultured bacterium
Lineage: Bacteria
Description: partial 16S ribosomal RNA
Rfam family: Bacterial small subunit ribosomal RNA
Source: RNAcentral